Molecule: long non-coding RNA, 1157 nt
Filed under: Chinchilla lanigera (long-tailed chinchilla)
Lineage: Eukaryota; Metazoa; Chordata; Mammalia; Rodentia; Chinchillidae
Description: lncRNA (ENSCLAG00000025374.1)
Source: RNAcentral
CCAGAAUAUCAGGCCCUGAUCUCUGGUGGUGUAGGGCUUAUAUGGGAUAAGCAAGCGGGAAGUGCAGAGGCAGAAUGGCCUGUCAGUUGGGGAUUGGUUCUUACAGUAUGCACCACAGCGACCAGCCGUUUCUAGGAGACAGGAGCACCUAGAACUGGAACAGGAAUGUGCACAACUGAAGUACCCUGGUUGAACUUGAAUCAGAGUCCAAGGAAGGAGGCCCUGGCAUUGUGAGAUGAUGGGCAGAUUUGGACACUGGAUGUGGUCAGGGGAGCAAUAACCAGUGAAGAAAAGACCCAGGCCCCUGGAUGGAUGGAAGAGGAGUGCUCCCAGCAGGCAGAUGUGAGAAGAGGGGAACCAAGCAACCAUCCAUGGAGAAUGACCCAUGUUUCCAAGACUCUGGCAGACACCUGGAGCAGAGUCCUGGCCGUGCAAGGGCUCAUGACCGUGUGUGUGGAUUGGUGUGGGACCCAGGCCCACCAAGCGGCACCUAAGCACCGAGGAGCUGCACAGUGCCAGGCUUUUCUCAAUUGUCCCACUCUAUAGGGCAAUGCACAGGGGCCUUACGGACUAGAACUGCACUGGGGGGAAUUCUUGGCUAUUAGUGUGGUCUUCAGGUUUCCUCCUGAGGUGGGGCAUGGGGAAGCCCUAGAAGGACAACAGCUGCCUAUGGUCUGAGCUGGAGUGGUGGGGAUGGAGUACUCCCCAGUAAAACACUGAAAACAGCUGGGAAGCCCCAGCAGAGUACUCUUCAGCGGGAAAUUCACAGCCCCACUUGUCUAUGAAAACACAAAAUCUCUCUGCCUCCAGGUUGAGUAACUCUGUACCAGGGGUGUGCUGAAGGGCUUGGGAGAAAUACCUCUCUAGGUGUCUCAGAAAAAGCAGAUUCUCUGAGAAGGUAGUGAUAGACUCUAAGUUGUGGCCAAGUUAAUUUCCAGGGAGUUAACAUUUUCCCCUUACAGUUAUUUUUGUGUACUUAUGUGACUAUGUGUUCUAGCUUUUGCACCUUUUCCACUGGGUUAAUGAUUAUCUGCCUCAAACUCUCUUUAUCUUGAAAAUUAAUUUUAAAAGUAGCCAUUAAUUUAAGUGCCUAUAUUUACACCCUGACAGUAUCCCUGAAUUAAACAUUUACCUAUCACCAUAGUAAACAUUAACAG